UAAGCUGACGGUGCAGCUGGUUCGCCCUGUCCGCCAGGCAGGGCGUCGCAAGAGGGAACCCGGUGACGCCUUUCGACUGGCCAGUCCGGGACUGCCCCGCAGCGGUGAGUGGGAACGACCGCCGUCAUACGCACUGGACCCGGGACGGGUCUGGGAAGCGACGGCCAGUAGGUGUCCGCCCUUCACGGGACGGACGCGCCCGCGAGUCCGAAGACCUGCCACUGCCCGCCCGCGGAC
Non-coding RNA from Streptomyces sp. CB02056, 237 nucleotides. The record is from Rfam. NCBI's taxonomy places the organism in Bacteria, Bacillati, Actinomycetota, Actinomycetes, Kitasatosporales, Streptomycetaceae.